Molecule: long non-coding RNA, 317 nt
Filed under: Elaeis guineensis (African oil palm)
Lineage: Eukaryota; Viridiplantae; Streptophyta; Magnoliopsida; Arecales; Arecaceae
Description: long non-coding RNA (EGUI_LNC025879)
Source: RNAcentral
UAGAACAAAUUUCAGAUCUAUGCAUGUCUUUACAUAUCGAAUAUAUGGUCUGAAAAUUAAAUCUAAAAUAAAUUUCAGAUUCAAAGCAAUCAUCUAUAUAUCUCAUAUAUCAAGAAAAAUCAGAUUUUGAAACUUUUUUCAAAAACAUGUGUGUCAAUUUCAUGCAUAUAAGACUCGUAGCCCUGAUACCACUGUAGGAAUUUUGUGUCGGGGCAUGCAUGUACGUUUCAAUUUUUUUUUUUUAAACAACGCAGCAGGAUAGAAGAUUAAAACAUCUUUUAAUCUAAAUCAUGCAUGCAUAAAAUAAAGAACACAAG